Molecule: transfer RNA, 86 nt
Filed under: Zhangixalus dennysi (Blanford's whipping frog)
Lineage: Eukaryota; Metazoa; Chordata; Amphibia; Anura; Rhacophoridae
Description: tRNA-Leu
Source: RNAcentral
GCUUUUAAAGGAAAAAAGAAUUCCCCUGGUCUUAGGCACCAGUACUUCUUGGUGCAAGUCCAAGUAAAAGCUUGUUUAAAUCAAAA